GUACCCUUAGCUCAUUUGAUUAGAGCAUACGGCUCAUAACCGUUCGGUCGUAGGUUAGAGUCCUACAGGAUAUA
RNAcentral lists this transfer RNA (74 nucleotides) under Enterococcus hirae. RNAcentral's name for it is "tRNA-Met". It matches the Rfam family "tRNA". Rfam says of the family: Transfer RNA (tRNA) molecules are approximately 80 nucleotides in length. RNAcentral also lists the same sequence under 2 other names. Lineage: Bacteria; Bacillati; Bacillota; Bacilli; Lactobacillales; Enterococcaceae. The record is from RNAcentral.